CUUAUUGAAUGCAUGUGAGAAUACUUGCAAAAAGCUUCAAGAAACAGAUAUAACAUCUACAACAUAACACAAACAGAACCAGAUUGGGAAGCUGCAAUGCAUGUUGUGAUUGGAACACGGGGCCUCUCACCCUCAGUGAUGUCACGUGCAAAGGGCAGCACUGGAUUUACAGAUGACAGAAGACCUACGUUCCAGGCCUAGCUCUGCCAAUUCCUGUGUGACCGUGGAUAAGUAACUCAACAUCUCUUGAGCCUCACUUCACUUACUAUCUGUAAAAUGAGACCAAUCACCUUCUUGCAGAGCUGUUAGGAGAGUCAGAUGAAACAAUAAUGUCUGUGAAAGAAACUCUAAAAACUAUAAAGCACAGCAUUUUUUUCCCUCCUAAUAGUUUUGGCUCUGUUCUAUAGCCUCUACAGCCAGAAGCCACCUCAUCCACCAAAGCCCUCAGGAUUUCAGAAAUGUUUGCCUUUGUUGUUUUUGGAUAGAAGUUAUAACUGUUUAUGCUUUUAGAAACUCUUUUCUACUGAACAGAAAAGUGAGAUAGAGUGAGACUCUAGGGACAAAUAUCUGAUUACAAAGUGCAUAUGAUUCACCUGUCUGAAAGCUGAAGUCCACUUAGAAAUACAUGAUCAUUCCUUUAUUUCUCUCCCAAUAAAGACUGUGAAUACAA
Long non-coding RNA from Pan troglodytes (chimpanzee), 670 nucleotides. RefSeq lists it as uncharacterized. NCBI's taxonomy places the organism in Eukaryota, Metazoa, Chordata, Mammalia, Primates, Hominidae. The record is from RefSeq and is a predicted model, not a curated record. The transcript has 2 exons.